This 497-nucleotide ribosomal RNA is filed under the name uncultured bacterium. RNAcentral's name for it is "partial 16S ribosomal RNA". It matches the Rfam family "Bacterial small subunit ribosomal RNA", at positions 28 to 507 of the family's 1533-position model. The record is from RNAcentral.
GAUGAACGCUGGCGGCGUGCCUAAUACAUGCAAGUCGAGCGAACGGACGAGAAGCUUGCUUCUCUGAUGUUAGCGGCGGACGGGUGAGUAACACGUGGAUAACCUACCUAUAAGACUGGGAUAACUUCGGGAAACCGGAGCUAAUACCGGAUGAUAUUUUGAACCGCAUGGUUCAAAAGUGAAAGACGGUCUUGCUGUCACUUAUAGAUGGAUCCGCGCUGCAUUUGCUAGUUGGUAAGGUAACGGCUUACCAAGGCAACGAUGCAUAGUCGACCUGAGAGGGUGAUCGGCCACACUGGAACUGAGACACGGUCCAGACUCCUACGGGAGGCAGCAGUAGGGAAUCUUCCGCAAUGGGCGAAAGCCUGACGGAGCAACGCCGCGUGAGUGAUGAAGGUCUUCGGAUCGUAAAACUCUGUUAUUAGGGAAGAACAUAUGUGUAAGUAACUGUGCACAUCUUGACGGUACCUAAUCAGAAAGCCACGGCUAACUACGUG